GUUAUUAUGCAUAAGUCUUUCCUUAUGCAUGGUGCAUAAACACUUCACAACCAUCAGAUCCAUUUACACGUGUAAUAAUCCUAAGAAGGAAGAGAUAUUGACAGAGCUGAAGCAAGUGGUGAAGGAAUUGCGGGAAGAUGAUUCGACGAAACGGCGAAUCGCGGCGGCGAGAGUAACCAUCGCACAGUGGCGAACCUUCCACUGCCUCCUGAACCGCCAGAUAAUGUUACACUUCCAACAUUGAUUGCUCUUAUGGUUGAGUAUCUAGACCUUGGACUGGCCAUAACCUGGACAUAUUGGUUCACCUCAAGCAACAUAAUGUCUAUCCAAUUGGACCCAUAGGUGCAAUGAAUCAGUUGCACAAAAUUGUUUGUCAUCCUUGGUUUGAAGCAAAUGUUAUGCAUUCAACUACUCUUGUGUAUUCACUGAUGCAAAUCCAUAUUAAUUCUUUGUUGCCAAGCUCACAUUCAAGGAAAUGUGUAUAGUUCCCAACAAGAAAAAAGGGUGGAAGCAAGUUGGAGUUUUUUCUAUAUGGAUCAUAUCACAACUUAAUUGCCCUUUGAGUGUCAUUCUGUACACAAUAUUGCCCUUUAGAAUUAUAUUGUGUAUUUGGAAUGAUUAUGAAGUGUGCUCUGAUACUGAAACCAUUAGUAUUGUUAAAUGGUUUCAAGAUGUUAUACACUGAAACCAUUAGUAUUGUUAAAUGGUUUUAUAUAAUCAUUAGUAUCGUUAAACCA
Trifolium pratense (red clover) is the source of this 737-nucleotide long non-coding RNA. RefSeq lists it as uncharacterized. The transcript has 2 exons. The record is from RefSeq and is a predicted model, not a curated record. NCBI's taxonomy places the organism in Eukaryota, Viridiplantae, Streptophyta, Magnoliopsida, Fabales, Fabaceae.